GACGAACGCUGGCGGCGUGCUUAACACAUGCAAGUCGAACGGAAAGGCCCUGCUUGCAGGGUACUCGAGUGGCGAACGGGUGAGUAACACGUGGGUGAUCUGCCCUGCACUUCGGGAUAAGCUUGGGAAGCUGGGUCUAAUACCGGAUAGGAGCCAUCUUUAGUGUGGUGGUUGGAAAGUUUUUUCGGUGUAGGAUGAGCUCGCGGCCUAUCAGCUUGUUGGUGGGGUAAUGGCCUACCAAGGCGGCGACGGGUAGCCGGCCUGAGAGGGUGUACGGCCACAUUGGGACUGAGAUACGGCCCAGACUCCUACGGGAGGCAGCAGUGGGGAAUAUUGCACAAUGGGCGCAAGCCUGAUGCAGCGACGCCGCGUGGGGGAUGAAGGCCUUCGGGUUGUAAACUCCUUUCGCUAGGGACGAAGCUUUGUUGUGACGGUACCUAGAGAAGAAGCACCGGCUAACUACGUG
RNAcentral lists this ribosomal RNA (466 nucleotides) under uncultured bacterium. RNAcentral's name for it is "partial 16S ribosomal RNA". It matches the Rfam family "Bacterial small subunit ribosomal RNA", at positions 28 to 507 of the family's 1533-position model. The record is from RNAcentral.